AUACGGAGGGUGCAAGCGUUAAUCGGAAUUACUGGGCGUAAAGCGUACGUAAGCGGUUAUUUAAGUCAGAUGUGAAAGCCCCGGGCUUAACUUGGGAACUGCAUUUGAAACUGGCGGACUAGAGUUGAGUAGAGGGGAGUGGAAUUUCAGGUGUAGCGGUGAAAUGCGUAGAGAUCUGAAGGAACACCAGUGGCGAAGGCGACUCCCUGGACUCGAACUGACGCUGAGGUACGAAAGCGUGGGUAGCAAACGGGAUUAGAUACCCCAGUAGUCC
Molecule: ribosomal RNA, 274 nt
Filed under: uncultured bacterium
Lineage: Bacteria
Description: partial 16S ribosomal RNA
Rfam family: Bacterial small subunit ribosomal RNA
Source: RNAcentral